AAUCAACGCUGGCGGCGUGCCUAACACAUGCAAGUCGAGCGCGAAUAGGGGGGCAACUCCCUUAGUAGAGCGGCAAACGGGUGAGUAACGCGUGGGUGAUCUACCUUCGAGUGGGAGCAACACCGGGAAACUGUGCUGAUACCGCAUGACAUCCCGGGUCACACCGGGAUCAAAGCUGGGGACCGUAAGGCCUGGCGCUUGAAGACGAGCCCCGCGUCCGAUUAGCUAGNGGGUCGGGGUAACGGCCCACCAAGGCGACGAUCGGUAGCCGGCCUGAGA
This 279-nucleotide ribosomal RNA is filed under the name uncultured bacterium. RNAcentral describes it as "partial 16S ribosomal RNA". It matches the Rfam family "Bacterial small subunit ribosomal RNA", at positions 32 to 297 of the family's 1533-position model. The record is from RNAcentral.